CAUUUUAGUUUGCUUGCAAACUGAAGAUGGCGACCGGCGCACGGGUGAGUAACACGUAUCCAACCUGCCGAUAACUCCGGAAUAGCCUUUCGAAAGAAAGAUUAAUACCGGAUAGUAUACGAAUAUCGCAUGAUAUUUUUAUUAAAGAAUUUCGGUUAUCGAUGGGGAUGCGUUCCAUUAGUUUGUUGGCGGGGUAACGGCCCACCAAGACUACGAUGGAUAGGGGUUCUGAGAGGAAGGUCCCCCACAUUGGAACUGAGACACGGUCCAAACUCCUACGGGAGGCAGCAGUGAGGAAUAUUGGUCAAUGGGCGCGAGCCUGAACCAGCCAAGUAGCGUGAAGGAUGAAGGCUCUAUGGGUCGUAAACUUCUUUUAUAUGGGAAUAAAGUUUUCCACGUGUGGAAUUUUGCAUGUACCAUAUGAAUAAGGAUCGGCUAACUCCGUGCCAGCAGCCGCGGUAAUACGGAGGAUCCGAGCGUUAUCCGGAUUUAUUGGGUUUAAAGGGAGCGUAGGUGGAUUGUUAAGUCAGUUGUGAAAGUUUGCGGCUCAACCGUAAAAUUGCAGUUGAAACUGGCAGUCUUGAGUACAGUAGAGGUGGGCGGAAUUCGUGGUGUAGCGGUGAAAUGCUUAGAUAUCACGAAGAACUCCGAUUGCGAAGGCAGCUCACUAGACUGUUACUGACACUGAUGCUCGAAAGU
Molecule: ribosomal RNA, 699 nt
Filed under: uncultured Bacteroidales bacterium
Lineage: Bacteria; Pseudomonadati; Bacteroidota; Bacteroidia; Bacteroidales
Description: bacterial SSU rRNA
Rfam family: Bacterial small subunit ribosomal RNA
Source: RNAcentral